AUUGAACGCUGGCGGCAUGCCUUACACAUGCAAGUCGAACGGUAACGCGGGGCAACCUGGCGUCGAGUGGCGGACGGGGGAGUAAAGCAUCGGAACGUGCCCAGUAGCGGGGGAUAGCCCGGCGAAAGCCGGAUUAAUACCGCAUACGACCCAAGGGUGAAAGGGGGGGGUCGCAAGACCUCCCGCCAUUGGAGCGGCCGAUGCCAGAUUAGCUAGUUGGUGGGGUAAAAGCUCACCAAGGCGACGAACUGUAGCUGGUCUGAGAGGACGACCAGCCACACUGGGACUGAGACACGGCCCAGACUCCUACGGGAGGCAGCAGUGGGGAAUUUUGGACAAUGGACGAAAGUCUGAUCCAGCCAUGCCGCGUGCGGGAAGAAGGCCUUCGGGUUGUAAACCGCUUUUGUCAGGGAAGAAAUCCUUUGAGCUAAUACCUCGGGGGGAUGACGGUACCUGAAGAAUAAGCACCGGCUAACUACGUGCCAGCAGCCGCAGUAA
Molecule: ribosomal RNA, 498 nt
Filed under: uncultured bacterium
Lineage: Bacteria
Description: partial 16S ribosomal RNA
Rfam family: Bacterial small subunit ribosomal RNA
Source: RNAcentral